CCGCCUAUUUACUCUGCGGAAAUGAUGCGCUCUGUUGGUUCUUGUUGUAAAACACGCGUGGGAAUUUGACGGAGAGCGUAUGCAAAGCACCGUAGCGGAGGUGAGGAUGAAAAGGACAUAGAAAGAGAAGGAAAGCUUUUAAGUUGGAACCCUCUUAACCUAAAAGGACUAUUCGACUGCAGCUAGCAUUCCCUGUGGGAGGGGCUACAUGCAGUCUUAAGUGAUUAUGAAGUCAUCAAAUGGUGCAAUAGUAUUGCAGCCCCUCAUCUGUUGAAAUAUAUUAAAAUGUUACAUUUAA
Long non-coding RNA from Notolabrus celidotus (New Zealand spotty), 298 nucleotides. RefSeq lists it as uncharacterized. The transcript has 3 exons. Lineage: Eukaryota; Metazoa; Chordata; Actinopteri; Labriformes; Labridae. The record is from RefSeq and is a predicted model, not a curated record.